RNAcentral lists this small nuclear RNA (163 nucleotides) under Meriones unguiculatus (Mongolian gerbil). RNAcentral describes it as "U1 spliceosomal RNA (ENSMUGG00000020490.1)". It matches the Rfam family "U1 spliceosomal RNA". From Rfam's summary of the family: U1 is a small nuclear RNA (snRNA) component of the spliceosome (involved in pre-mRNA splicing). The record is from RNAcentral. Lineage: Eukaryota; Metazoa; Chordata; Mammalia; Rodentia; Muridae.
GUGGUUACCUGCCAGGAGAGAUACCAGGAUCAAGAAGGUGGUUUUCCCAGGAUGAGGCUCACCCACUCUUCUCAGGGAGUGCUGACCCUGCAAUUUCCCCAAAUGCAGAAAACCUGACUGCGUAAUUUGUGGUAGUGGGGGAUGGCGUUUGUGUUCUCUCCUA